This 254-nucleotide ribosomal RNA is filed under the name uncultured bacterium. RNAcentral's name for it is "partial 16S ribosomal RNA". It matches the Rfam family "Bacterial small subunit ribosomal RNA", at positions 524 to 776 of the family's 1533-position model. The record is from RNAcentral.
UACGUAGGGUCCAAGCGUUAUCCGGAAUCACUGGGCGUAAAGCGUGCGUAGGUGGGUGUUUAAGUGCGAUGCGAAAUCCCGUGGCUCAACCAUGUGGACUGUAUCGCAUACUGAAUACCUUGAGGACAUGAGAGGCAAGUGGAAUUACUGGUGUAGCAGUGAAAUGCGUAGAUAUCAGUAGGAACACCAAUGGCGAAGGCAGCUUGCUGGCAUGUAUCUGACGCUAAGGCACGAAAGCGUGGGGAGCGAACAGG